This is a non-coding RNA of Chlorocebus sabaeus (green monkey), 2315 nucleotides long. The record is from RefSeq and is a predicted model, not a curated record. Lineage: Eukaryota; Metazoa; Chordata; Mammalia; Primates; Cercopithecidae.
AUGUGUUCAUGACCUCUGAAGGCCCAAAUUCAUGAGGCAGCAAACCCAGCAGAUCCCCAGCCCGCCUGCCUCAGGACCUCUGCUGAAGGCAGGGAUGAAGAGGGUCUCCAGGGAGGCAGCGGGGGCCUUGUUGGUGGCUGGCUCAGGAGCCGGCUUACAGGAGGGCAGCUCCGCAGUGGGGAGGAGCACCAUCCGGAGGAGACCAGGCCUCUGCAUGCCCCCCACUCUGCUUACCAUCCCUGCUCACACCCCCUUGGCCAAGGCUUUGUGCAGCGGAUUUAAUUUUCCAAAUGAAGAGGACAGAGAUAGAUGCAUUUUCCCCAGGCUGUCUCGGAAAGGUCGCUAAGUGUAUGCUGUUGUCACAAUUGCUGAGAUCUCCCCCCACUUUUGGUUUUUGCAGCAGCAAAAACUCUCUCUCCACUGCAACUUCUUUUCUCUCUCUCAGGCAACCAGCUCCCUGGUCCCUUGUGCUGACUCUAGUACAGUGGCCAAGAGCCGAUACGAAGCCAGGGGUGACCGCAGGACGGUGGGCUCAGUGGGCUUCUCCACCUACCCCAGUCGCCAAGGCCCUGACACACUCCCUCCUGCACCGUCAGCACAUCCAUGUGCACAGCUGGAAGGGUGCAUGGCCCGCCCACCUUCGUCCAGACGGGUGGAAAUCUGAUGAUGCCAGCUCCUCCCUGCCGUGCCCCUGCUGCAAGCAGGCAUUGUGAACUGGCUGGUGUUUGCAGUCCCACGUGGUGUGGCCUCCAGCCCAACCCAUGGUGGAGACUGGAGACAGAGCAAUGAGUCCUGGUGGGGGGCACGUGGACAUGCCCCACAGGGGCCUCACCCAGGCUUAUAGGCAAGGUCCUGGGCACUGCAUGACGCAGCACUCACUGCUAAAGCAAGCCCGCCUGGCUCUGUGCCAGGGCCCCCUUCUGAUUCACACAUCCCAUUUUUACGCAGACCCUUCCUUCUUAAUAAAAGCUGACAGUUAUGUUGUUGGCACCCAAGAACCCACACCGUGAAGACAGGGAGUGAGGGGCCUUUGUGCCCAAGCCCAGCACAGCUGUGUUCUGGGGCGCGUGAGAGGCAUGUUCGUGUCCGUGCGCUGGUGGUCUCCUGACACAGUUCCGAGGACGGGGAAAUUGCUGGGUGGUGGGGCUCUGAGGCUCGUAUGUGGAACUGCUGCAGAGUUCGCUGGCAGACGGAUCUGGAUAUAUGUUAUGUAUAAUUGUUAUGUGUAAUUUAAGAUAUAUCUGUUUGCCAUCGUCAUAAGAUUAUAUGUAAGACUCUUAAGGGAGAGGGAGAUGUACAUUCUGCCAGGCUCCUGUGGACUUUGUCUGAGUCAUUAAAUUGACUGUUGUUGAUCCAGUGGUGCGAGAAGCUACACUCCAUGUGUCAUCACGCUUAUGACUCCUAAUGGAUUUUUAAGGCAAAAAAUGCCAGCCGACUCCAUCUUCCCCCCUCGAUUCCUCGAGUCCAGCCUUUCUGUGCCAGUGCAUCCCUGAGCCACAAUGCUCUCGCCAUUGGGACCUGGCUGGGCCUGGAGUCUCGGGGCACAGUUACCAUGGAGCCCUCCUGGGUCAUCCUACAAAUGUGCCGAGUGCCAGCUGAAAGCCCCACAGGAGAUGGAGUGCCUUGGCUAAGCUUAGAGAGAUUUUCUCAGGGUAUUCGUUAGUGUGUCCAGCAGGGUCAGGAAGCAGGGAUGGAAAGAUGCAUUCAGACUGUUAAUUUAUUAACAAGGCAAAUGGUUUUGUGUUUCUUGACGACAAACUAUUAAGUUUGGGACUUAUUUUCCCAUUUGAGAAGUUAUAAUAUAUAUUUAAGAUAAGUUUCCUGCUUAAGUUGUGCCUUUCAGCUUCAACGAGUUUAAGGAGCACUAAGGGUAAUGAUACCAAUGAGGGUUGGUUUAUUAUCAAACCUGAAUAGCUGUGGUUUCUCUGGUAAAUGUUUUCUUCUACUGAACAUGGAGCCAUUAUUAAGAGUUGUAUGUUUUUUAUUAUGUACAUUUGUAUAUUUUUUUGCUUGUUUGAUGUUCUAUUUUUCUAAUAGUUUUCUUAGAGUUUCUUACAGUUGUGAUACUAGAUUUAGAUUCCGAUGCUAACUGCGAAUCAGGUUGGUCUCUGCUGGGUCUCUCCUGCUUUUAUUUUCCUUUGAGGACAAGUGUAGUUGUCGUCCACCACCUUUCAAAAAAUGUGAAACUGCCCUGCCUCCCCUUUUUGCUAACAACCCUGUGUACACUGACAACUUCUUUUAUGUUGUAAAAUCAAACUAUUUUGUGGUACAUUAUCUCGCACUUCCGCAAAUUCUAAUAAAUUCUGUGGCUUCCA